RNAcentral lists this ribosomal RNA (229 nucleotides) under uncultured bacterium. Its description in RNAcentral is "partial 16S ribosomal RNA". It matches the Rfam family "Bacterial small subunit ribosomal RNA", at positions 568 to 796 of the family's 1533-position model. The record is from RNAcentral.
CGUGUAGGCGGCUUGGUAAGUCGGAUGUGAAAGUCCCGGGCUCAACCCGGGAAGUGCAUUCGAAACUGCUAGGCUUGAGUAAGAGAGAGGAAAGUGGAAUUCCUGGUGUAAAGGUGAAAUUCGUAGAUAUCAGGAGGAACACCGGUGGCGAAGGCGACUUUCUGGCUCUAUACUGACGCUGAGACGCGAAAGCGUGGGUAGCAAACAGGAUUAGAUACCCUGGUAGUCC